This 253-nucleotide ribosomal RNA is filed under the name uncultured Anaeromyxobacter sp. RNAcentral's name for it is "partial 16S ribosomal RNA". It matches the Rfam family "Bacterial small subunit ribosomal RNA", at positions 524 to 776 of the family's 1533-position model. The record is from RNAcentral. Lineage: Bacteria; Pseudomonadati; Myxococcota; Myxococcia; Myxococcales; Anaeromyxobacteraceae.
UACAGAGGGUGCGAGCGUUGUUCGGAAUUAUUGGGCGUAAAGCGCUUGUAGGCGGCCUGAAAAGUCUCGUGUGAAAUCCCCUGGCUUAACCAGGGAAGUGCGCGAGAAACUGUUGGGCUUGAGUGCCGGAGAGGGUCGCGGAAUUCCCGGUGUAGAGGUGAAAUUCGUAGAUAUCGGGAGGAACACCAGUGGCGAAGGCGGCGACCUGGACGGACACUGACGCUGAGACGCGAAAGCGUGGGGAGCAAACAGG